GCAGUUCGGCUGGGCACUCUAAAGGGACUGCCGGUGUUAAACCGGAGGAAGUGGGGGAUGACGUCAAGUCCUCAUGGCCUUUAUGACCAGGGCUACACACGUACUACAAUGGCCGAUACAAAGGGCAGCGACACUGCGAGGUGAAGCCAAUCCCGUAAAAUCGGUCUCAGUCCGGAUUGGAGUCUGCAACUCGACUCCAUGAAGUUGGAAUCGCUAGUAAUCGUGGAUCAGCAUGCCACGGUGAAUACGUUCCCGGGCCUU
RNAcentral lists this ribosomal RNA (261 nucleotides) under uncultured Desulfobulbus sp. RNAcentral's name for it is "partial 16S ribosomal RNA". It matches the Rfam family "Bacterial small subunit ribosomal RNA", at positions 1121 to 1382 of the family's 1533-position model. The record is from RNAcentral. Lineage: Bacteria; Pseudomonadati; Thermodesulfobacteriota; Desulfobulbia; Desulfobulbales; Desulfobulbaceae.